UUUUGUCUCCCUACACAGCAGCCCUGUGGCAUCAGCGCGUGCGCCGAAAGGAGGCAAAACGAACAAUUCGCCGUCGCUUGCUCCCUGGUGCGGAUUCAGACGGUUGUCGUGUUGCCUUUUUUCCCUCUCUCAGCCCUAGCCAGGAAUACCACGCUAUCGUUGUCGUACAAAAGCACACCCACACGCAGAAGAAGGGAGUGAGUGGGGAAGGUGCACUGGAAGAACGGCACGCGUACCCCUACAUAAGCUCGAAACACUGUAAUAGCCACAGCAAUAGAGAACACAUACACAUAACACGCACACGCACCUUUUUCUGCCAUUUUCAUACAUCAUUGGCGCACGCCCGCCUUGAUCUCCCGAUUCGUUUCCGCUGUCCUUGGACGCACUAACGCCGAUGGAACACGCCGAAGCACCCUCUCACUCACGCAUACGCUCCGUCGUCUCCACACGUCUCUUGUCAUUCCCCGUCGCUGAAGUAUCCGUAAAAAGCCGCUGGUGUCGGCAUCUUCGAUGAAAAUAGCGGUGGGAGAAGCAAACAGGUAUGCAGAAAAAAAAAGGACAAAAAGGGGAAGUGAAUCGAGUUGUCACAGGCUGGAUGAUCUGAACUCGCACAUCCGUGGAAAAGGUGGCCAACUAUAAUGGAAAGUGCGCGCACAGGCUAAAGGGAGCAUCGUUAUCGGCAUUCGCCUGUCUUCCGUUACUCUUCGCAUUUGUUUCGCCUCUUUUGAGUGCUUUCCUUUUUUUUUAAUGCUUUCUGGUGCACCGGUACGCAACACAAACUGCCUCUAUCUUGCAG
RNAcentral lists this unclassified non-coding RNA (796 nucleotides) under Leishmania donovani. RNAcentral's name for it is "gene:unknown". Lineage: Eukaryota; Euglenozoa; Kinetoplastea; Trypanosomatida; Trypanosomatidae. The record is from RNAcentral.